Molecule: ribosomal RNA, 427 nt
Filed under: uncultured bacterium
Lineage: Bacteria
Description: partial 16S ribosomal RNA
Rfam family: Bacterial small subunit ribosomal RNA
Source: RNAcentral
UGGGGAAUAUUGCACAAUGGGCGCAAGCCUGAUGCAGCCAUGCCGCGUGUAUGAAGAAGGCCUUCGGGUUGUAAAGUACUUUCAGCGAGGAGGAAGGCGGUAAGGUUAAUAACCUUAUCGAUUGACGUUACUCGCAGAAGAAGCACCGGCUAACUCCGUGCCAGCAGCCGCGGUAAUACGGAGGGUGCAAGCGUUAAUCGGAAUUACUGGGCGUAAAGCGCACGCAGGCGGUCUGUCACAUCGGAUGUGAAAUCCCCGGGCUCAACCUGGGAACUGCAUUCGAAACUGGCAGGCUAGAGUCUUGUAGAGGGGGGUAGAAUUCCAGGUGUAGCGGUGAAAUGCGUAGAGAUCUGGAGGAAUACCGGUGGCGAAGGCGGCCCCCUGGACAAAGACUGACGCUCAGGUGCGAAAGCGUGGGGAGCAAACA